This 2027-nucleotide ribosomal RNA is filed under the name Dolichomastix tenuilepis. RNAcentral's name for it is "partial 23S ribosomal RNA". It matches the Rfam family "Bacterial large subunit ribosomal RNA", at positions 1 to 2130 of the family's 2925-position model. Lineage: Eukaryota; Viridiplantae; Chlorophyta; Mamiellophyceae; Dolichomastigales; Dolichomastigaceae. The record is from RNAcentral.
GAUAAAGAAACAAAGGGCUUAUGGCGGAUCCCUAGGCACUCAGAGACGAUGAAAGGCGUGUUUACCGACGAAACGCUUCAGGGAGCUGGAAGAGUGCAUUGAUCUGAAGAUUCCUGAAUGGGUCAACCCAAAGAUCUCUUUUUCAAUUCAUAGAAAAGAGAAAGAUAACUUCGUGAACUGAAACAUCUUAGUAACGAAAGGAAAAGAAAGCAAAAGCGAUUCCCUUAGUAGCGGCGAGCGAAGCGGGAACAGCCUAAACUUCUUUGUUUUCAAAAAUGAAUCAAAGAAGGGUUAUGGGACAAAAAAUACAAUUUUCGUGAAACAUAAAAAUAGAUGAAAUAGUUGAAUCCUAUACCAUAGAUGGUGAAAGUCCAGUAAUUUUAUUUAGACAAGAACGAAUAGUUGAAUAAAUGUUUUUGAAUCCCAAGUAGCAUGAUAUACGUGGAAUCUCGUGUGAAUUUGCGAGGACCACCUCGUAAGGCUAAAUACUCCUGAGUGACCGAUAGCGAAGAAAGUACCGUGAGGGAAAGGUGAAAAGAACCCCAGUCGGGGAGUGAAAUAGACUAUGAAACCAUAAGCCUACAAUAUGUAGAAGAUCUUUUAAAGAUUAACUGCGUGCUUGUUGAAGAAAGAGCUGGCGACUUAGAAGGGAAGGCCUGGUUAAAAGAUAUUUGUCUUGAAGCCAAAGCGAAAGCGUGUCUGAAAAGGGCUUUUGUCUUUCCUUCUAGACCCGAACCUAAGUGACCUAUCUUUGGACAGGAUGCAACCCAGGUAAAACUCGGUGAAGGUCCGAACCGUGUGAUGUUGAAAAAUCAUCGGAUGAGCUGAAGAUAGCGGUGAAAUGCCAAUCGAACUUAGAGCUAGCUGGUUCUCCUCGAAAUGCGUUGAGGCGCAGCGUUCAUUUAUGUAAUUUGAAGGGGUAAAGCACUGUUUCGAUGCGGGCUGCGAGAGCGGUACCAAUUUGUCACAAACUCAGAAUACUUCAAACAAUUCAAAUGAGCAGUGAGACUAUGGGGGAUAAGCUUCAUUGUCGAGAGGGAAACAGCCCAGAUGAUUCGUUAAGGCCCCUAAAUAUGUACUAAGUGAUAAAGGAUGUGAGAGGCCACAAACAACCAGGAGGUUUGCUUAGAAGCAGCCAUCCUUUAAAGAGUGCGUAACAGCUCACUGGUCAAGGACUCUUGCGCCGAAAAUGUCCGGGGCUCAAGUACAUUGCCGAAGCGGUCAAUUUUUUGGUAGAGGAGCGUUCUCCUACACGUAGAAGUUAUAUCGUGAGAUAUAGUGGAGAGGGGAGAAGUGAGAAUGUCAGCUUAAGUAACGAAAACCUUGGUGAGAAUCCAAGGCUCCGAAAACCUAAGGUUUCCUCCGCAAGGUUCGUCCACGGAGGGUUAGUCAGCACCUAAGGCGAGGCCGAAAGGCGUAGUCGAUGGAAAUUAGGUUAAUAAUCCUAAACUUUUUCUUUUUAGUCACGGGGGACGAAACUUAUGAUGAAGAGGAACAAAAAACUCUUCUUUUUUUCCUAGAAAAGCCCGGAUGACUUCGAAAAGCUAAAAGCUGUACCGUAAACUGACACAGGUGGGUGGGUAGAAUAUACUAAGGAGCGCGAGAGAACUCUCUCUAAGGAACUCGGCAAAAUCACCCCGUAACUUCGGGAUAAGGGGUACUCAUAUUAUGAGUCGCAGUGAAUAGACCCAGGCGACUGUUUACCAAAAACAUAGGUCUCCGCAAAGUCGUAAGACAACGUAUGGGGGCUGACUCCUGCCCAGUGCUAGAAGGUUAAGGAAGUUGGUUCGUUUCGACAAAGCUAGCAACCGAAGCCCUAGUGAACGGCGGUCGUAACUAUAACGAUCCUAAGGUAGCGAAAUUCCUUGUCGGGUAAGUUCCGACCUGCACGAAAGGAGUAACGAUCUGGGUACUGUCUCGGAGAGAGGCUCGGUGAAAUAAGAUUGUCUGUGAAGAUUCGGACUACCUUCACUUGGACAAAAAGACCCUAUGAAGCUUUACUGUGUCUUGGAAUUGAAUUCGAGCUU